CAGAAGAAGAUGGUGAGGCAGAAGAGCAGUCCUGGCAUGGCAGGUGGGUCAGACUCCUCUCUCGUAGGUAGUUCCUCCUCAUCUUGGCUGGCCCGUGUUCCAGUUACUAGACCCACGUCCUCAACUUUCCUCUUUCCCCAGGUGGGCCCACCCAGCACCAUGGCUUUCAGUAUCAGCUCCAUGCCAAGAGGCUUCAGCUUUGCCCCCCUCCCGACUCUCUCAUUGCCAACGCGACUGUGGGACUUGAUGUCACAUGGGCGUCCCAAACCUGCCCCAGCCUCCACCCCCGACUAUACUACACUACUGUCACUGCAAGUCAAAAGUCAGAAAAUACUCUUCCCCAUCACCCUGCACCACAUCUGUUAGAAAGUCUCCAUCUUCGGCUCCAAAAUCAACUUCAGCCCACCUUCUCGGCACUACCACCCACCCCAACCUCCAUCCAAGCCCACGUCACCUAAGUGGUGGUGGCUGGUGCCCAGCCUACCUCUGUGCCUCCUGCAGCCCGCCCAUCACACACAGACUGCGAUCAAGGUCAAGUCCUUCCUCGAUCCAAUCUCCCACUGUUGCAGGAAGGGGGAUCCCCUUCCAAGGCCCAGCAGUAGGCUCUUAUCUGACUCUUGGAAGUGACUCGACAGAGGAGACACACAUGCUGGCAGAGCAGAAGCCUUUGUUGGGAAGGACCACACCCCCAACCCCGGCUGCAGAGCAGCAGGCUAAGGGAGCCCAGGAGAACUGCUCUGCCACGCGGUUCGCAGUCCCAGGCUUUCUCGGAAUAGGGUUAGUUUUGGGGUCGUCUCUGGCCAAUCAUUUUGCUUGGCCCAUAGUCUGACUCUGGGUCCCGCUUGGUGGCAUCUGUAUCUCUCAACCAAGAUGCUGAAGGAUUGAAGGAUCCACUCAACCAGAGUGAAGGAUUCUGGGAGGCUGGUCUUCUCCUCCCACUUUUGGCCCCUCUCCUGAAUCCUCCUGGUUAUUUUUCAGUGGCAGCACCGUGUUCCUUAUUGAGACCUCCUGUUGUGAGACUCCUGAGUCAAGUGGUCAUCAUGUGCCUGGCCAAGGCAGGUGGUUCGGUCUCAGACCCUAGAAGGGGUCCUCCUUCCUGCAACAAAUGACUGGUAGGAUCUCUUCUUUGCUAUGACUGACAUCCUGACCAUCAGGGAUCAGCUUGCCUGCUGAUGGACUGGACCCAGCAGCCAGCGCUUGGACCCUUUAAAUGUCCCUGGUCUCCUCCUGAUGUGGACUGGCCAGAACUUCCUGACUAGCUUAAUUUUUAGUAAUCUGUUUUUGGAUGAAGAUUGGACACUCCGUGAUCUACAACAGGAAGUUAACGCCAGGUAUGGUCACUUAAACUUAAAGGCUGCCUCAUGCUGGGGACAGUGACACCAUACUAGGGUUGACCAGCCAGAAACUGGGCGGAGGGCCUUGUGGACAACGCCAAUAUACAACUUCCCUAAAAGGUCUACCUGGAAUCCCAUGACGAUAUUCUGACAACUCAGAUGCAUACAGAACGUCAAAUAUCAACAGCAGUAAUAUUAGUAAUUUUCACAAUUUCAGAGGCAUUCACAUAAAAUGAGAAGUCUCAACAGCAGAGGUAACAUACCUCUUGGGAGAAUGUGGGAGGGGCCGAAAGAGGGAGGAAACAUCAACCUCCACGAAUCUUCCAUGCUGGAAUCCACUCUGGCUGAGAGAUGUGCGCAUCACCAGCAAGAACCACGAGUCAGAUUAUCAGCCAAGCAAGACGACCACCCAGAGGCAACCCAGAAACUAACUCCUUACCUUGAAACCUGAGACCGUGAGCCAUGUAGCCCUGGCUGCUCUUCAACCCAGGGGCCCCUUCCCAAUAAAGUCUUUUGCUGUGUCAGCCUGUUUGUCCCCUCUGACAACUCAUUUCCGAGAGCCUGCUCUGGGGCCUUGGAAGGCCCUGCGACGCCUGCACCAAAGCCUCCUCACAGCACUGCAGUCUCCCGGGCCAACAGAUUUGUUCUUCAAACACAAACGCCUGCCCCCAGGGCCUCUGCUUGCAUUCUUCCUGCCUAACAGGCCCGACGCCACCGAUCUCUAGUUUAACACCCUGAUUACUCCUUCACUGUACUUAAAGCUGAGCAUGUUACUUCAUUUCCGUCCAUUGUCUCCACUAGAGCGUAACCUCUCUAAGAAAGCCUCCCUUAUUAGCACUUCUCACCAUGUAGCUUGGAACAGAGGGGUGUGAGGACUGCGUGCUGAGUGAAUGAGUAAGAUUUCAGCUAGAAACCAAAUGGAAAAUGCUGAGAUGGAAGCUGAUUCUGUGGCCCAGCAUCAACUGCCCUUUCUCCAGGCCCCUGGGCCCCGACCAUGUCCAGGACAAGUCCAUCCCCAUCCAUUUGGCAGGAGGAGCAGCGCCAGCCCUUGCGGAGACUCACCUCGGGCAAGUCUUAUGUGUGGUGUCUGGUCCUCACACCAGCCUUCCAUGCAGGAACUGUGUAUCCCCGUUUUGCAGAUGGGAAAACUGAGGCUCACAGAGCUGACAUGA
Molecule: long non-coding RNA, 2506 nt
Organism: Capra hircus (goat)
Lineage: Eukaryota; Metazoa; Chordata; Mammalia; Artiodactyla; Bovidae
Exons: 3
Source: RefSeq, a predicted model, not a curated record